This 566-nucleotide ribosomal RNA is filed under the name uncultured Marinobacter sp. Its description in RNAcentral is "bacterial SSU rRNA". It matches the Rfam family "Bacterial small subunit ribosomal RNA", at positions 37 to 594 of the family's 1533-position model. The record is from RNAcentral. Lineage: Bacteria; Pseudomonadati; Pseudomonadota; Gammaproteobacteria; Pseudomonadales; Marinobacteraceae.
UGGCGGCAGGCUUACACAUGCAACGUUGAGCGGUAACAGGGGUAGCUUGCUACCCGCUGACGAGCGGCGGACGGGUGAGUAAUGCUUAGGAAUCUGCCCAGUAGUGGGGGAUAGCCCGGGGAAACCCGGAUUAAUACCGCAUACGUCCUACGGGAGAAAGCAGGGGAUCUUCGGACCUUGCGCUAUUGGAUGAGCCUAAGUCGGAUUAGCUAGUUGGUGGGGUAAAGGCCUACCAAGGCGACGAUCCGUAGCUGGUCUGAGAGGAUGAUCAGCCACAUCGGGACUGAGACACGGCCCGAACUCCUACGGGAGGCAGCAGUGGGGAAUAUUGGACAAUGGGGGCAACCCUGAUCCAGCCAUGCCGCGUGUGUGAAGAAGGCUUUCGGGUUGUAAAGCACUUUCAGUAGGGAGGAAAACCUUAUGGCUAAUACCCAUGAGGCUUGACGUUACCUACAGAAGAAGCACCGGCUAACUCCGUGCCAGCAGCCGCGGUAAUACGGAGGGUGCAAGCGUUAAUCGGAAUUACUGGGCGUAAAGCGCGCGUAGGUGGUUUGGUAAGCGAGAUG